RNAcentral lists this ribosomal RNA (440 nucleotides) under uncultured bacterium. RNAcentral's name for it is "partial 16S ribosomal RNA". It matches the Rfam family "Bacterial small subunit ribosomal RNA", at positions 338 to 795 of the family's 1533-position model. The record is from RNAcentral.
CCUACGGGAGGCAGCAGUGGGGAAUAUUGCACAAUGGGGGAAACCCUGAUGCAGCGACGCCGCGUGAGUGAAGAAGUAAUUCGUUAUGUAAAGCUCUAUCAGCAGGGAAGAAAAUGACGGUACCUGACUAAGAAGCCCCGGCUAACUACGUGCCAGCAGCCGCGGUAAUACGUAGGGGGCAAGCGUUAUCCGGAUUUACUGGGUGUAAAGGGAGCGUAGACGGCAGGACAAGUCUGGAGUGAAAGGCGGGGGCUCAACCCCCGGACUGCUCUGGAAACUGUACGGCUGGAGUGCAGGAGGGGUAAGUGGAAUUCCUAGUGUAGCGGUGAAAUGCGUAGAUAUUAGGAGGAACACCAGUGGCGAAGGCGGCUUACUGGACUGUAACUGACGUUGAGGCUCGAAAGCGUGGGGAGCAAACAGGAUUAGAUACCCGGGUAGUC